UAAUCUCAGCUGGCAAUCUGUGA
RNAcentral lists this microRNA (23 nucleotides) under Ciona intestinalis (vase tunicate). RNAcentral's name for it is "cin-miR-216". Its record names the gene cin-miR-216. RNAcentral also lists the same sequence under 1 other name. The record is from miRBase by way of RNAcentral. Lineage: Eukaryota; Metazoa; Chordata; Ascidiacea; Phlebobranchia; Cionidae.